Molecule: ribosomal RNA, 154 nt
Filed under: Funneliformis monosporus
Lineage: Eukaryota; Fungi; Glomeromycota; Glomeromycetes; Glomerales; Glomeraceae
Description: Funneliformis monosporum 5.8S ribosomal RNA
Rfam family: 5.8S ribosomal RNA
About the family: 5.8S ribosomal RNA (5.8S rRNA) is a component of the large subunit of the eukaryotic ribosome. It is transcribed by RNA polymerase I as part of the 45S precursor that also contains 18S and 28S rRNA.
Source: RNAcentral
ACUUUCAACAACGGAUCUCUUGGCUCUCGCAUCGAUGAAGAACGCAGCGAAAUGCGAUAAGUAGUGUGAAUUGCAUAUUUUGUGAAUCAUCGAAUCUUUGAACGCAAAUUGCACUCCCUGGUAUUCCGGGGAGUAUGCCUGUUUGAGGGUCGUU